CAGCCGGUGGGCGGUGGCGCGAGGAGGGCGGCCGAGGAGCGCGCGCUAACGCACCGGCGGCAGUCGCAGUACCGGCGUCUGGACACUGCUCGUGCAGUACACCCCGGGUACCUCUGCUGAACACCUCCAGCCUCUGGACACUGCUCGUGCAGUCCACCUCGGGUACCUCUGCUGAAGACCCCCAGCCGCCACCAUGGCUUCCAUGGACAUGCUGUCUAUGUCUGUCCCCAACUACACCUACCUGUUCAAGUUCGAGGAGGACUUUGCCGCCGUGGAGCGCCAGCAGUGGAUGCAGCAGAACUGGCACACGUCCUUCUACUACAUCGGCGUCUACAUGGUGCUCAUAUUCGGCGGCCAGCGCUACAUGGCCACUAGGGAGCGGUUCGAACUGCGGAACGUACUGGCGCUGUGGAACUUCUUCCUGGCCGUGUUCAGCAUCGUGGGCGCCAUGCGCACCGUUCCCGAGCUGCUGUUUGUGCUGAAAAACUUUGGCUUCCAUCACUCCUGCUGCAUCGCUGGCCAUAGUUACGUGCCCAACAGCCCCGUGUCUGGCCUCUGGAGCUACCUGUUCACCAUGUCCAAGGUGCCCGAGCUGAUGGACACGGUAUUCAUCGUGCUGAGGAAGCAGCCGCUCAUCUUCCUGCACUGGUACCACCACAUCACCGUCCUCAUCUUCACCUGGUUCAGCUUCUCGGACUUUAUCGUGACCGGCCGCUGGUUCAUCAGCAUGAACUACUCGGUUCACGCCAUGAUGUACAGCUACUACGCCUUCAAGGCGCUCCGCUACCGCGUCCCCAGGUGGAUCUCUGUGGCCAUCACUAGCAGUCAGCUGGCGCAGAUGAUCGUGGGCUGCCUGGUCAACCUGUGGGCCUACCACGUCAAGUCCAACGGCGGCGAGUGCGAGGUCUCCGUGCUCAACAUCAAACUCUCGCUCAUCAUGUACUUCAGCUACUUUGUCCUCUUCGCCCACUUCUUCAACAAGUCCUACCUGACCAAAAAGCCGGCGCGCAGCGCCUCCACCGGCAACAUGAAGAAGAUCGAGUGAUGCAGACGGCCGAUAGGUGUCGCCCCGGCAGACGGCCGAGGUUUAGGAAAAUAUUCAGCCAUGGCGGCGUGGAGGUAUCCGCUGCCGGAGCUCAGCUGUGUUCUGCUGGGAGCACCUUCCCGGGGUUCUCCGCGCCGCAGGUAGCACCUGCGGGGGUUUCCCGAGUAUCCUGCUACGGAUGUUGUUCUCGCAGCCUCCGUUUUCACGUUUGCUCAAUGGUUUCGUUUUAUGUCUGCGAUAUUUUAUUGGUUGGCCUGCAUUGGCGAUUGUUUGCGAAGUUGUUUGUUCAAUGUUCAAUGGCAGGCCUUCUGUUCAUUUUCCAUAAUAGGUACACUCAUUGUAAGCACAUGUACCCAAUGUGCUUACAAUGCAAUAUCUAAAAACAUUCUUCCGGGAUCACACAGAGCAUUCCACUACGUUUUGUUGUAACUAUUUAUAUUCCACUUGCUGGCAUCUACUCACUUUUCCUGGUAAACAUUCUCCAGUAGCUUUUACCAUGGUCCUAGCAUAGCCUAGUGGUUGGUCAUUCGACCUUGAGGGUUUCCUCGGUAGCUAAAGAUAGGGAGGGUAAGGUACAGCUGCGCAACAGUUUGUCUGAGCAAGGCUCCUAGCUAGCUGGUCAGCCAGACGAAGUUGCCAGUACCCUGUUGGUGCGCUGGACUUCUUCUCCGGCAGACGCUUGUCGCUGUCCCCUGGGUUCGUCCAGUACAUCAUGGGGCAACUCUACUUCGAGCCCGCCCGGCUGCGUCCUCAGAGCCAGACCUCGGCAGUCCUUACAGUCCUGAGACUACCACCAUUUAGACGCUGCCACCGAGUGACUGUGGUCCGUCUGAGCUGCUCUCCGGGUGGUACGGAAGUGCGGCAGUCUCCGCCGGCAGCAGGUGUUUUAGCUUGAGAUACUUGCACUGCAACCUUUCCUUCGUCAUAAUACUCCUCCCACCCGUCCCUCCUCUUCUCCAGGAAUGUCAACUCCUGAGCCUCUAACCUCUCUCCAGACAGCCAAAAGCUCAUCUCCAGGCAUCCAGGAACACCUCCCCAGGCGUCCAGGAGCUCUUCUCGAGUCAUGACAGCAGACUGCUCUUCACGUCUUAUCCGGCACGCUCCUGUUGACACAUUCCACUAGCCUUCGGAAUAUUCUGACAGAUUUCCAACCCAUAGAUCCUUGGUGCACUAGGAACUCCCCGCACAAGCUUUGUGAUCAUGUCGCUAGCCCGUAAGUAGACUUCAGUGGGCCCCAGGGACAUGUAUAGGGAGCGACCAGAGCCAACUCCAGAAGAGUCAAGCGUGCGACUGUCUGGUAUGGUCUGGUAGGUGAUACAGGGUCCUCUGGUCAGUUGUUUCGGAGGGGAUCCAAGGGACAGUAGGAGGAUGGCAGUCAGAGGAGGCACCUCAGAAGUAUGGGCGGUGUAGAGACGGUUGGUUUGUCUGGGUAAUCUUAUCGAUUACAAAUUUGAGAGAGAGAGAGAGAGAGAGAGAGAGAGAGAGAGAGAGAGAGAGAGAGAGAGAGAGAGAGAGAGAGAGAGAGAGAGAGAGAGCCGAAGACGCCAGGCAGGCGCUCCUUUGAACGGACUAACGUAGCGCGGUAUCACUCUAACGGGAGCCAUUUGGCCUCAGUGUGUGUGACUUGGUAUGCUUCGUCUGGCCCUUGUCGCAUGUUCUAUUGUUCACGAUUUAUGCCGCCGGGCAUCGUCCAAGGAGGCUGAAUUGCUAGAUAUCGUAGCCUGCUACUCAGGCGUUUCUUAGAAUCAUGGAUGAUGCGUGGUUAUUGGUUUUACCAGGAGGCUUGCAAACAUGCUAUGCUUGAUCUUGACUAGUGAUGACAUUCUAAGCUCGAUAUUCUAAGCGUUGGGUUAGUUCAUCGUAACAACCAUCGCAAUCCAUUCCAGAAAACUAUGUUGUCUAAUUCCCAUGAUCCCAUGAUCAGUCCAGUUACCAGAGUCCCAGUGCAUAGUGUUUGGUCCACGCACAUGCUUCAGCCCGCUGAGAUCUAUGGUCCUGGCGGUGUUGUGUUCAAAAUUCUUCAGUCAGUGUGUAAGUUGUCCGUGACCGAUAAGAAGGCUCGCUGCAUGAUACACCUGUUUGAGCGAUUGUCCAGAUUGUGUGAUUGAAGUGUUUCUCGACACGAUGACUCUGUCCAGUCUCGGUCGGCCGUUGUGAGCCUAACCCCGUGUACACUGUGUAUUAUAUUUGAGGUUGCGCUGUGUAAGCGGGAGUGUCUCGCGCUGAGAUUCUGGCAGAAAGCUGCGACGAGUGGGCAUCCGGUCACCUGUGAAAUGGCGCUGGCGCCGUGUGGCCGGAAUGGGCUCCGGAAUGGGUGGAAUGGGUGCUGGUCACGGCCUGAACUAGUCGGGAUUGUGCGUGGAGUGGAUGUGAGUGACGCCAUUGUGUUCUGAUGUGGUUUAGGAGUGUACAGUCUCGUGUGAUGAUAACCCUCAGUGCGCCAGGGCUAGCAGAGAGCGUAAGGUUGUGAAAUAGGGCCCACCGCGGUCCCAACAAUGCCAUCAGACUUGUCUGUGAAAACCAAGCGCAAACUUUGUGUGUGAAUGUCUGCGCCGUGUCAGCGCAAUGCGCCGCCCCGCUGACCCGGACGAGUGUCCGCUGAGCCAGUGCCCGCCUCAGUUCUGUUCUAUCGCUCCCGUGCGCGGUGAUCACGGUGUUGUUUGGCCCACGCCACACAUCCGUGGUCGCCAUCGCGCCGCACGCAUGGUGUACCGCAAGGAAGCAUUUUCGCCCCGCUGUUAUUUGUUACGUUGGAAACUUUUUGGAAUUGAUGCGUUGUUUUUUUAUCAUUCCCGGAGCCGAAAAUGUGUCCGAAGCUGCAGCUCCAUGCUCGUGUUGUCAGUGGCAGCGCUGACGGAGUCACCAGAGCAGACUGAGCGCGACCAUAGCUAGACGGGACAAUUCCUGAGGGGCCGGCCGCGGCGCUGAGUGUGUGUGAGCGUGCCGAUGGUGUGUCGGUGCGACAGCUCUGUUUUGUUUUCCCGUUUGUCCAAUUCGGCUGCAGUGUUACCUAAUAUACGAACAUUCAGUUGA
This 4078-nucleotide unclassified non-coding RNA is filed under the name Amphibalanus amphitrite. RNAcentral describes it as "elongation of very long chain fatty acids protein 6- like, transcript variant X1". Lineage: Eukaryota; Metazoa; Arthropoda; Thecostraca; Balanomorpha; Balanidae. The record is from RNAcentral.